This 1364-nucleotide ribosomal RNA is filed under the name Lactococcus lactis. RNAcentral's name for it is "bacterial SSU rRNA". It matches the Rfam family "Bacterial small subunit ribosomal RNA", at positions 88 to 1442 of the family's 1533-position model. Lineage: Bacteria; Bacillati; Bacillota; Bacilli; Lactobacillales; Streptococcaceae. The record is from RNAcentral.
UGGAUGAGCAGCGAACGGGUGAGUAACGCGUGGGGAAUCUGCCUUUGAGUGGGGGACAACAUUUGGAAACGAAUGCUAAUACCGCAUAAAAACUUUAAACACAAGUUUUAAGUUUGAAAGAUGCAAUUGCAUCACUCAAAGAUGAUCCCGCGUUGUAUUAGCUAGUUGGUGAGGUAAAGGCUCACCAAGGCGAUGAUACAUAGCCGACCUGAGAGGGUGAUCGGCCACAUUGGGACUGAGACACGGCCCAAACUCCUACGGGAGGCAGCAGUAGGGAAUCUUCGGCAAUGGACGAAAGUCUGACCGAGCAACGCCGCGUGAGUGAAGAAGGUUUUCGGAUCGUAAAACUCUGUUGGUAGAGAAGAACGUUGGUGAGAGUGGAAAGCUCAUCAAGUGACGGUAACUACCCAGAAAGGGACGGCUAACUACGUGCCAGCAGCCGCGGUAAUACGUAGGUCCCGAGCGUUGUCCGGAUUUAUUGGGCGUAAAGCGAGCGCAGGUGGUUUAUUAAGUCUGGUGUAAAAGGCAGUGGCUCAACCAUUGUAUGCAUUGGAAACUGGUAGACUUGAGUGCAGGAGAGGAGAGUGGAAUUCCAUGUGUAGCGGUGAAAUGCGUAGAUAUAUGGAGGAACACCGGUGGCGAAAGCGGCUCUCUGGCCUGUAACUGACACUGAGGCUCGAAAGCGUGGGGAGCAAACAGGAUUAGAUACCCUGGUAGUCCACGCCGUAAACGAUGAGUGCUAGAUGUAGGGAGCUAUAAGUUCUCUGUAUCGCAGCUAACGCAAUAAGCACUCCGCCUGGGGAGUACGACCGCAAGGUUGAAACUCAAAGGAAUUGACGGGGGCCCGCACAAGCGGUGGAGCAUGUGGUUUAAUUCGAAGCAACGCGGAGAACCUUACCAGGUCUUGACAUACUCGUGCUAUUCCUAGAGAUAGGAAGUUCCUUCGGGACACGGGAUACAGGUGGUGCAUGGUUGUCGUCAGCUCGUGUCGUGAGAUGUUGGGUUAAGUCCCGCAACGAGCGCAACGGCUAUUGUUAGUUGCCAUCAUUAAGUUGGGCACUCUAACGAGACUGCCGGUGAUAAACCGGAGGAAGGUGGGGAUGACGUCAAAUCAUCAUGCCCCUUAUGACCUGGGCUACACACGUGCUACAAUGGAUGGUACAACGAGGCGCGAGACAGUGAUGUUUAGCUAAUCUCUUAAAACCAUUCUCAGUUCGGAUUGUAGGCUGCAACUCGCCUACAUGAAGUCGGAAUCGCUAGUAAUCGCGGAUCAGCACGCCGCGGUGAAUACGUUCCCGGGCCUUGUACACACCGCCCGUCACACCACGGGAGUUGGGAGUACCCGAAGUAGGUUGCCUAACCGC